Molecule: ribosomal RNA, 196 nt
Filed under: Klebsiella pneumoniae
Lineage: Bacteria; Pseudomonadati; Pseudomonadota; Gammaproteobacteria; Enterobacterales; Enterobacteriaceae
Also listed under: 1 other name
Description: partial 16S ribosomal RNA
Rfam family: Bacterial small subunit ribosomal RNA
Source: RNAcentral
GUAAUCGUAGAUCAGAAUGCUACGGUGAAUACGUUCCCGGGCCUUGUACACACCGCCCGUCACACCAUGGGAGUGGGUUGCAAAAGAAGUAGGUAGCUUAACCUUCGGGAGGGCGCUUACCACUUUGUGAUUCAUGACUGGGGUGAAGUCGUAACAAGGUAACCGUAGGGGAACCUGCGGUUGGAUCACCUCCUUA